This 46-nucleotide non-coding RNA is filed under the name Schistosoma margrebowiei. Lineage: Eukaryota; Metazoa; Platyhelminthes; Trematoda; Strigeidida; Schistosomatidae. The record is from RNAcentral.
GCACUGCUGAGGAGUCCCAUACUAGGAUGAAACGGCUGUCUAGUGC